AUUUGUAGUUCAUUUUUCAUUUUCUUAGUCAAGUUCAGUUUCCACAAUCUCUUUCCUCCAUAGUCGAUCUCUUUUGUCUACUCCUCCUCUAAUUCAAUUGUCAAUCAAGAUAUGUAGGAUGAUUUUUUUUAAGGAAAAUGAGAUGAUUUUUGUGUUAUUCGUAUAUUUUAUAAUGAGUUAUAGAUUAAAAUUACGCAUUUUAUAUGUGAAAAAAUAUAGUUAGAAAACAAGAUAGAAAAAUAAUUCUUUUUUAUAUAUGUGCUUAUUAAUGUAUAUUAUUAUUAUUUGAAUACAUAUUCAAUUCAUAUUCAAAUUCGAAAAAAUAACCGAUUAUAUCCGAAUCUGUUUUUAGCAGGUAUGAUAAUAAAAAUUUAGGGUAAACUUCAGAUACCAUUCCUGUGGUUUCGCACUUUUUCACUUUAGUACCCUAUAAUUUAAAGUAUAUCAAAUUAGUGUCCUGCCGUUUUAUUUUUAUCUUUUUGUCAGCUUCUCCGUUAAUAUUUCGUUAAAUUAUAUACAAAAAACUUCAAACACUCCACCUAGGUUUUUCAAAUAUUUACUUUAAUACCCUUUAGUUUUAACUUUGUCAUUGAUUUAAUAAAAAAAAUUAGUAAAAUUUAUAAUAAAAAAAUAAAAAAUAAAAUCACAUGGCACUAAAUUGAUACACUUUAAACCACAUGGUAUUAAAGUGAAAAAGUGUGAAACCACAUUGACGGUAUUUGAAAUUUUUUCAAAAAUUUAAUAUCCGACACAUAUUUGUACCUGAAAAAAAAGAAUAUAGAUGCGAACGUGGUUUUGUCAAAUAUCCGAUCAUUUUCGAUCCGUUUUCACCCCUAACAAUAUCCCAUCUCUUUCUCACACGUGGAAUCAUCUAAUUUGAUCUACAGAUGAACCGGUCCCCGUUUAAGCCAGCGUUGACUUUGCCGAACCGGGGGAGUAACCACAGAACGAGACUCCGCGGAGAAUCGUUGACUGGGCCACAAAAGUCAACACAAAACUAUUCCCUGCACCGGCGCGUACCGUACUCCACACGCGGCCCAGGUAAAAAUGUAUGCAGAUCCCCUCAAUUAUAGGGUAUUCGGAACUUCAGCCCUCAACUUUAAAUUUUUUUUCCGAAAAAACUUCAAAUGCCACUUUUAUAAUUUCGCACUUUCUCACUUUCGUACCAUGCGGUUUAAAGUGUAUCACUUUAUACCCUGUGAUUUUAUUUUUCUCUUUUUGUUAUUUUCUUCGUUAAUUUUUUUCGUUAAAUCAAUGACAAAGUUAAAACUAAAUAGUACAAAAGUGAAUAUUCGAUAAACUAUGGAUGAGGUAUUUGAAGUUUUUUAUAUAUAAUUUAAUGAAAAGUUAACGGAAGGACUGACAAA
Molecule: long non-coding RNA, 1367 nt
Filed under: Ananas comosus (pineapple)
Lineage: Eukaryota; Viridiplantae; Streptophyta; Magnoliopsida; Poales; Bromeliaceae
Description: long non-coding RNA (ACOM_LNC041064)
Source: RNAcentral